This 406-nucleotide ribosomal RNA is filed under the name uncultured prokaryote. RNAcentral describes it as "bacterial SSU rRNA". It matches the Rfam family "Bacterial small subunit ribosomal RNA", at positions 355 to 776 of the family's 1533-position model. The record is from RNAcentral. RNAcentral also lists the same sequence under 1 other name.
UGGGGAAUAUUGGGCAAUGGGGGGAACCCUGACCCAGCAACGCCGCGUGAAGGAAGAAGGUUUUCGGAUUGUAAACUUCUGUCCUUGGUGAAGAGGAAGAGACGGUAGCCAAGUAGGAAGCCCCGGCUAACUACGUGCCAGCAGCCGCGGUAAGACGUAGGUGGCAAGCGUUGUCCGGAAUCACUGGGCGUAAAGGGCGCGUAGGCGGUAUAUCAAGUCAAUUGUGAAAGACCCGGGCUCAACCCGGGAAGUGCAGUUGAAACUGGUAAACUUGAGUGCAGUAGAGGGAAGCGGAAUUCCUGGUGUAGCGGUGAAAUGCGUAGAGAUCAGGAGGAACACCGGUGGCGAAGGCGGCUUUCUGGGCUGCAACUGACGCUGAGGCGCGAAAGCGUGGGGAGCGAACAGG